Molecule: ribosomal RNA, 665 nt
Filed under: Staphylococcus pseudintermedius
Lineage: Bacteria; Bacillati; Bacillota; Bacilli; Caryophanales; Staphylococcaceae
Description: partial 23S ribosomal RNA
Rfam family: Bacterial large subunit ribosomal RNA
Source: RNAcentral
GGUGGGAUACUACCCUAAUUGUAUUGGAUUUCUAACCCGCAGCACUUAUCGUGCUGGGAGACAGUGUCAGGCGGGCAGUUUGACUGGGGCGGUCGCCUCCUAAAGAGUAACGGAGGCGCUCAAAGGUUCCCUCAGAAUGGUUGGAAAUCAUUCAUAGAGUGUAAAGGCAUAAGGGAGCUUGACUGCGAGACCUACAAGUCGAGCAGGGUCGAAAGACGGACUUAGUGAUCCGGUGGUUCCGCAUGGAAGGGCCAUCGCUCAACGGAUAAAAGCUACCCCGGGGAUAACAGGCUUAUCUCCCCCAAGAGUUCACAUCGACGGGGAGGUUUGGCACCUCGAUGUCGGCUCAUCGCAUCCUGGGGCUGUAGUCGGUCCCAAGGGUUGGGCUGUUCGCCCAUUAAAGCGGUACGCGAGCUGGGUUCAGAACGUCGUGAGACAGUUCGGUCCCUAUCCGUCGUGGGCGUAGGAAAUUUGAGAGGAGCUGUCCUUAGUACGAGAGGACCGGGAUGGACAUACCUCUGGUGUACCAGUUGUCGUGCCAACGGCAUAGCUGGGUAGCUAUGUAUGGACGGGAUAAGUGCUGAAAGCAUCUAAGCAUGAAGCCCCCCUCGAGAUGAGAUUUCCCAACUUCGGUUAUAAGAUCCCUCAAAGAUGAUGAGGUGAAU